GGCCGCACGCACCUGAGGCGGACGCCGGCCCGGCCCGGCCCGGCCCGCGGGGGAGGCGGCGGAGGACGACGACGACGAGGCCCGCGCCCGGACAGGGACCAGGGACCAGGGACCAGGGGCCGGGGCGACCCCCGCGGAGCGGCGGCGGCGGCGGCGGACGAGGAUGAGGACCAGGACGAGGAGGAAGACGCGGGGACGACGAGCCCGCCGCCGAGGGGCCGCCCCCGCGGGAAGCCUCACUGAAAUGACCCUGAGGGGCCGAAGCCCCGCCGCCCCGGGGCUCGCGCGCGGGCCGCACAGCAGCGCCGUCCGCACCCCAGUAGCUUUUCACACACUUAAAAAGGAAGACAAGCUUAUCUUUUCCGGAGGCAACAGGUUAACGUGGCUCAAGAAGGAACAUGCAGUACACGACUCGAUUUGCAGCCUGAUGGGUAACUUCCACCUCACAAUUGGCUUCUUGAGAUAGAUCCUAACAAGUCAAUGAGAGCGAGCAAGCAGGGGAAGGGCAGGAGGAGAGGGAGAGAGAAAAUUUGAAGCAGGCUCCACACUCAGUGUGGAGCUCAACAUGGGCCUCGAUCUCACAAUCCUGAGAUUGUAACCUGAGUCGAAAUUGAGAGUCAGAUGCUUAACCGACUGAGCCACCCAGGCAUCCCUGAAAAUUCUUUUAUAUUCCUUCCUUCAAGACAUAGAACCUAAUGCCCUUCUCCCUUUGAGUGUGAGCUGGACUUCGUGACUCACUUCUAACCAACAGUAUAAAGCUGAAGUGAUGGUGUGGGACUUCAGAAACGGUCCGCUUGAUCCCUUCCUUUUGGGUCACUCUACAAGGAAGCCAACUGCCAUGUCAUGAGUACACUCAGGUAACUGUGGAGAGGCCCUUUAGGCAAGAAACAACGGUAUCUUGCCGACAGCCUUACAUCUGAGCUAAUUAGAAGACCGGCCCGUCAGCCCUAACCAAGCUUUCAGAGGACUGCAGCUUCAGGAAACACCCUGAGCUACAGCCAGCAAGUAAGCUACUCCCCAAUCCUUAACCAUAAAAACUACCAUAAAUGACUGCUGCUUUAAGCUGCUAAAUUUGGGGUAAUUUGUUUGCAAAGGAAAAUUAAUACAGAAGGAAGGCAUUUAAACUCUUGUUACAUUUCACAGCUUAGGCUUUUAAAAAAGGGUAAAGUUUAUAAAUAACUUUAACUUUUAACUACAGAAUCCUGAGCAGUUCUUCCCAUUUCUUAAUUCUUUAUAGUCUGGGCAUCAACUCUUAACCUCCAACCUCUCCAUUUUAAAAAUAAGUCUUUAUAAUAUAAUCAUUAUCAUUACAGUCUAAUAUAACCAAAAAAAAAAUAGAUUCCUUUGGCUUUUUGAUUUUACGGUCCCAUAGUAACCAAAAUGGAAAACAUUCUUGAGAGAGAUAUAGAUAUAUAAUUGUUUCCAGUACCAUAUAAGUUUCAGAUGUUUUUAUUUUUAGAUUACCUUGAUGAUUUCAUUUGUGCUUUGCAUUUAACUAGUAUAAAGAAUCAUAAAAUGUUACAGAUUGAAAAAAUCCUAGAGGAAACAUCACCUAGAAUUUUUCAAAAAAUAAAGAACCUGAAUAUCAUGAUCUCUCUUCCUCA
RNAcentral lists this long non-coding RNA (1604 nucleotides) under Canis lupus dingo (dingo). RNAcentral's name for it is "lncRNA (ENSCAFG00020020829.1)". Lineage: Eukaryota; Metazoa; Chordata; Mammalia; Carnivora; Canidae. The record is from RNAcentral.